CACAAUCUGGUGAUUUUAAUUUUGAUCGCCUGGUCAAGGUGUUGUCUGACUUCUCUGCUGUAUAGCUGGAUUUUUUUUUCCCUUGCAACCAACAGAUAAUCUGGGGGAGGAAGAAGCUUUAGAGCUAAGCAAACAUUCUGCUCUUCACUAUAAAGCAAAGAUCAGCAAUGUGGAAAAAUGGACUGAACUGAAGGGAAAAGGUGGCAGAAAAGUCAGCUAAGAGCCUAUUGCCGUAAACCAGAUAGUCUGGGAGCAUCUGAGCAGAAGAGCCGCUGAAACCAUGGAAAUCAACUGGACAUUAUCCUUCAGCCUCCAGAGUGUCAUUAUCAUUAAAUCUAUCCUUGGCCUUCUCCAGCAGAGUGGUCUGUCUCUUUUCUACAUAACCCGCAGAGUUGCUAUGAUGAUCUGCAACGGGGAAUGAACCAUGCCCAGACCACAAGGAAGGGAGGAGGCAUGCCAUGUGUGAGGUGAGGAGUGUCUGAGCCUGAAGUUCUCUGUCAAAUAUGGUGCAUUAUGUCGUGUUGAAUAUCCAUCAAUACAAUCCUUUGUUUACUAUGCUCUUUCCAUGUGCUGGUGGAUUUAAGGGAGGAAGACAGUCCAGUUGGAAACAUGACUGGACGAAUGAGGUUUGGUUAAGAGCUUGUUUAUAAGAGUUGGUCAGAGAGCAAGAUGCCUAUAGUCAAGUCUUUGCAGUGACUCUUAAGUGUUUUGUGGACCAACUGAUGUUCUUCAGGCUCAUUAGGGGUAUUAGGAUAAAGAUUCUUAGACUCCAAAACCUACUGAGUCAGAAUCUUGAGGGAGUGGCUCAGCAUUUUAAAUAUGUUUUCUCCUCUUCCCUCCCCUUUAUGUCCAUUGAAGUAGGAGAAUUGUUGGUUUCCAGAGGAGGCUUCAUGGAAGAAGAAGGAUCUGAGCCAGGUAUAGAGAGGAGCAGGAAGGACUUUCCAGGUACAGGAGAGCUGGCACAAAGCCAGAAAGUUGUGGAGCAAGAGUUGUGCAGGCAGUGUGCAAUUCGGAUGGAGCAAAUGGUAGUACCUGUUUGUUAAUAUGCACAGUAAGCCUAAAAAAGUGAUUGAGACAUGAUAGUGGAAAACCAAUCAACAGUUCUCUAUCACUUUGUUUGUUUGAUGAAAUACAUAGGACUUUUUGUAUUUAUCAGCACAACACAUUGUACUAAGCAUGUGAAGACUUUGAUACCACCUCUUAACUCAUCUUCUACCUGGCAAAACUCACGUUUUCAGGAAAUUAAAGCAAUCAGUGCCAUAAUCUUUUUUGUUGUGGUAUUCACAAAAAAAUUUAACAAGCAUGCAUACGAGCAAAUGAACUACUUAAAGUAUUAAAACAUUGACAUAUAUGAGGAAAACAAAGUAAAAAUAAGUUUUUCACAAUUAAAUUUUAUCUUUGACAAUGAGUUUUAGCUUUUUCUGUUAGGUGUCUAUUCUACUUCUACAAAAGCAAGAAUAUUCUCUGAAAGAACAUGCAUAAAUAAAUCCUGUUAUAUUAUAUUGUUAAAUAAUAAAAGAAGUGACCAGUUCUGACAUCUCAUUAAUAUGUGCAUGUCACUGCAUCAUUGCUUUGCAUUUGCUGUAAUCACAGAUUUGUUGGUGCCAUGAAUGUUUCUCAUAGUAUUCUUAUUCAUGUAAAAUGAAUAAUGUAAAAUGUAAAGUGAUGUAAAAUUUCCAUGUAAAAUGAUGGAAAUAAACUGCUCACUCUUCUU
Long non-coding RNA from Macaca mulatta (Rhesus monkey), 1714 nucleotides. NCBI's taxonomy places the organism in Eukaryota, Metazoa, Chordata, Mammalia, Primates, Cercopithecidae. The record is from Ensembl.